GGCUACAGUUAAUGGGGUCGCAGAGCUGGACACAACUUGGCAACUAAACAACAACAAGGAGUUAACACGGAUUAAAACAGGUUAAAGAGAGAGGAAAUAAAAGUGACAAGGAAGCCCUGCCCCAGUGAGCAAAUAGCACCCCUUAUCUGACUUGCGCAUUCUCUCCUACUGGAAAAGCCACACCACGUGCCAAGCUCAGGUGAUGCUGGGAGUGUCCCUCCAUGGUCCUGGCAGCCUCCCCACAGCUUGGAGGCAGCCGUGGGGUCAGAAAGAGCCACACCAGCGUGUACUCCUGGGGAGGAGCAGAGCCACAUGAAAGCCUGCCAACGCGGAAUCGCAAAGACCCGUUGAAAAUGCAGCAGGGCCCCACCACGCAGAGGCCUGCCCAGGACGUGGGCCACAACGAGAACGUGCCACACACCUCCCCAUCACCAGGCCCACGGCAGCACUCUCCAUCCAUGCCUUUGGACUCCAGAAUCAGCUUCUCCUUGGGAAAAGGUCUCAUCACCCCCACUUCAUGUGAUGGAUAAUUUGAAUGAGUGAAAGCAGAAGGUAUCUGUCUUUCUCCACCUGAGAAAUCACAAACUUUUAAAUCUCAGCAGUCCAGAAUCAAAUCCAAACAGACCAUCCCAGCAGUUCCAGGCAGCAGAAAUGCAUGUAUGUGUUCACCAAAAGACAAGGACCCAGAUGUUCACAGCAACACUAUCCACAGCAGCCAACCAUUGGAAAUUACCCAAAUGCUUCCCCACAGUAGAAUAAAUAAGUAACUGUAGUGGAGUCACAACAGAAUACUACAGAACGAGAUAUAAUGCCGAGCAAAGGAUAUUUUAAAAGGUACCUACUCUGCAACUCGCUUUACAUCAAGUUCAAAGACGGGCAGAACCGAUUUGUGCCGUGUGAAGUCAGGAGUCAUUACCCUUGCUGGGGUAAGAAGGCUAGUGGGCACGAGAGGACUUGCGGAACCUGCUGUGUCUCGCUGUGGGCACUAGAGCUUGGGGAUGCACUGGUGUGUGAAAUGUUCUUCAGUUGUACACUUACGUGCACUUUUCUGUGUAUAUAUAUUAUAAGUUACUAAAAUCUUUUCUAAAAUCAAAAAGAGGAAAUCAAGCUGGGCUCUGUCAGUUCUCACCACACUAGGCCAUGUGGGUAACACAGCCACUUUCAUCUGUUCUUUCUCCUGAUUCUCCUGUUUGAACCUAUCUGUCCAUUUCAAUGUCUCCGCGUGACCCACCGAGUGGGGUUACUCCUCUCCACCCCGCCCUCGAAGCCCAGAGGGAAUAAGCCAGAGGGUGCUCUUCUCC
This is a long non-coding RNA of Capra hircus (goat), 1301 nucleotides long. RefSeq lists it as uncharacterized. The transcript is spliced from 3 exons. The record is from RefSeq and is a predicted model, not a curated record. NCBI's taxonomy places the organism in Eukaryota, Metazoa, Chordata, Mammalia, Artiodactyla, Bovidae.